This 488-nucleotide small RNA is filed under the name uncultured fungus. RNAcentral's name for it is "eukaryotic LSU rRNA". The stretch from base 149 to 302 matches the Rfam family "5.8S ribosomal RNA". Lineage: Eukaryota; Fungi. The record is from RNAcentral.
GAAUGAAAAGUGCUUAACUGCAUUUUUUCUUACACAUGUGUUUUUCUUUUUUUGAAAACUUUGCUUUGGUAGGCCUUCUAUAUGGGGCCUGCCAGAGAUUAAACUCAACCAAAUUUUAUUUAAUGUCAACCGAUUAUUUAAUAGUCAAAACUUUCAACAACGGAUCUCUUGGUUCUCGCAUCGAUGAAGAACGCAGCGAAAUGCGAUAAGUAAUAUGAAUUGCAGAUAUUCGUGAAUCAUCGAAUCUUUGAACGCACAUUGCGCCCUUUGGUAUUCCAAAGGGCAUGCCUGUUUGAGCGUCAUUUCUCCCUCAAACCCUCGGGUUUGGUGUUGAGCGAUACGCUGGGUUUGCUUGAAAGAAAGGCGGAGUAUAAACUAAUGGAUAGGUUUUUUCCACUCAUUGGUACAAACUCCAAAACUUCUUCCAAAUUCGACCUCAAAUCAGGUAGGACUACCCGCUGAACUUAAGCAUAUCAAUAAGCGGAGGA